AAUCAACGCUGGCGGCGUGCCUCAGACAUGCAAGUCGAACGAUUAAACUUUCCUUCGGGAAAGAUAUAAAGUGGCGCACGGGUGAGUAACACGUAAGUAAUCUACCUUCGAGUGGGGAAUAACAUCGGGAACCGAUGCUAAUACCGCAUAAUGCAGCGGCAUCGAAAGAUGACAGUUGUUAAAGGAAGCAAUUCGCUUGAAGAGGAGCUUGCGGCAGAUUAGCUAGUUGGUAAGGUAAUGGCUUACCAAGGCUACGAUCUGUAUCCGGUCUAAGAGGACGGUCGGACACACUGACACUGAAUAACGGGUC
Molecule: ribosomal RNA, 310 nt
Filed under: uncultured bacterium
Lineage: Bacteria
Description: bacterial SSU rRNA
Rfam family: Bacterial small subunit ribosomal RNA
Source: RNAcentral